GCGCGAAAACUUUACAAUGCUGGCAACAGCGAUAAGGGAACCUCGAGUGCCAGGUUACAAAUCUGGCUGUCGAGAUGCCUAAAAAGCAUUUCAUAGCAAGGGCCGGGCAAGACCGGUGCCAGCCGCCGCGGUAACACCGGCGGCUCGAGUGGUAACCGUUAUUAUUGGGUCUAAAGGGUCUGUAGCCGGCCGGAUAAGUCUCUUGAGAAAUCUGGCAGCUUAACUGUCAGGCUUUCAGGAGAUACUGUCU
Molecule: ribosomal RNA, 250 nt
Filed under: uncultured bacterium
Lineage: Bacteria
Description: partial 16S ribosomal RNA
Rfam family: Archaeal small subunit ribosomal RNA
Source: RNAcentral